Molecule: small nucleolar RNA, 69 nt
Organism: Platichthys flesus (European flounder)
Lineage: Eukaryota; Metazoa; Chordata; Actinopteri; Pleuronectiformes; Pleuronectidae
Source: RefSeq, a predicted model, not a curated record
AUGCAGUGAUGACUAGAAUUUCUUCACCUGAAACUCAUGAUGGUUUUGAGCUUUUUAACCCUGAGCAUU